Panicum virgatum (switchgrass) is the source of this 1118-nucleotide long non-coding RNA. RefSeq lists it as uncharacterized. The record is from RefSeq and is a predicted model, not a curated record. NCBI's taxonomy places the organism in Eukaryota, Viridiplantae, Streptophyta, Magnoliopsida, Poales, Poaceae. The transcript is spliced from 3 exons.
CAGCCAUUGCGGCAGCCCACCUGCCGCUAAACCCCACAUUUCAUUCCUUUCUUCGCCUCCAAUCCACGAUCUCCUCUUCCUGCUACUCCUGCAUCACCGGGGGUGGCUUGCCGGGCUUCUCGACCCUGGAUGCUUCUGGAACCUUCUAGAGCCUCCUCCACACCGCCCUGAUCCUCCUUAGGCCUCGCCACUCGCCAGCCCGGGCAGCCGCGCCUCUCCCCCGUGCGCACCGGAAGCUCAGUCACCGCACGCCCGAACCAACAUACCUCCAUUGCGCGCCGCCGCCGCCGCCUCGCCCCCCAUGGACCAGUUCGGGUGGCUCCGGCACGCCUCCAGGUCUCUCGUGCUCCGCUCAGGAGAGGUGGCUGCGCAGAGGAGCACAUGGAUUCGACCUAAUGCACCUUGCAGCUCUACUGGCAUGUAUAUUGGUGAUAGGUACUAUGGCCGAUUCAUGCUUUCAUCAUUUAUAUCGAGCAUGAGUUUUCAUGCUACAUGUUAAUAUGCUCGGUUUAAACGUCAUAAUUACUUUUGCAAUGAAAUUUUAAACAGGCUUUAUCAGCAGCUCUCUACUGGCUAAUACUUACAGGUGGGAGCUAGUCACAGAAAAUAUGACGGGGAAAAGUGUCAUGAUCGGAGCUGGCAUCCUCCUACUGAUUCACCUGAUACUGAGCAGGUGAGCUAAGGCUUGGAAACUGCACUGUUGCUGGGGCAGUGGGGCAACAUCAUAAAUUCUCUGAAGAUUUGGCUUCACACAAUAGAACAUAGGGUCACGAUUCCUUAAAGAUUCUUUGCACCCUUGAGAGAUCACAAUUUUGAAAGAGGCGUCAGCUAGAAGAUUUGGGGGGGUCCCUAGGGGAAGAAUAAUCAUAAUAAGAUAUUUUAGCAUCACAGCUCCGACCAUCUGAGAUUGUCAUUUGAGCUGCCUAAAUUUGGUUGUGGUUUCUCUUCAGUGGUGUAAUAUAGAUGCUUGACCACUGCAAUAGUUCAAUGUUUCAACCAUGUUAGGGUGAAACUGGCUGUAACUUCUCUUGCGACUUGACGCAUCCCUUUCCCUUAAUCAUUUGAUCAUGUUACUUUGUACAUAUAUACCCUGUCAGCCCGCCAGGCUGAUGUGGGCA